UGAAUUGAUUUGGGAUAUUCCCUUCUUCUCUCUGUGUUUUCUUCUUCCUUUCUCUUUAUCGAUCUUGAAUGGUUGAUUACCAAAUUGUUUCGUAACAUCUUUCUUCAUUUAAAGUCUUUGAUACCCACAACCUCUCAUCUUUCUUGUUACUAUUAUUAUUUUCUUGCAAACCCUUUUCGGAAAUUGAGAUCUGAUGAGUAAAAAGAUGAAAUUGGAUUAUGAGGAUGCUAAGGCAAGAUUUAAGCAUCAAACCCUUUUUCAAGAUUACAUGGAGUUGCAACAGGUGGGGCCUGCGUAGGACCGACAGUUUUCCUCUCACAAGGGGGGGUAUAAUCAGGAAGAGGGGGGGGUGUGUAUAGAAUUAGCCUUUGACAAUAGAACAUGAGAUAUAAUGAAGGAAUUACCCAUUAGCAGUUUUCCUCACAUCCCAACCAGACAAACCGGCUGCUUCUUUAAGAGCCUCUCUCCAUUUUCCAACAUCUGAUUCAUUCUUGUCCGUAUGUACGGCAAAGGCCUCACCAACUGAUCCGUUUUGUUUUCGGACUUCGGAGGGAUCCACAUCGUAGAACACUGGGAAAGCCGUCUGCUCGUUCUUCUUAUGACACUCCAUGAUCUUGAGAAGCUCGUUUAAGCACCAUGAUGAAGAUGCAUAGUUUUUGGAAAAAACAACAAUGUAGAAUCUGGAGUCCUCAAUGGAUCGUAAGAGCUCAUCAUUUAUCUCUUUUCCUUUCUGGAGUUUCUCAUCGUCCUUGAACGUGCAAAUACCAUGUCGAUCAAGAGCAUCAUAAAGAUGAUCAACAAAGGUCUUGCGGGUGUCUUCACCACUGAAGCUAAGAAACACAUCAUACGCGUAGCUCUUGUUUUGAACGCUUGAACUUGAUGAAGCCAUUGAAGGUAUACUUGUAUACUUGACAAGAUCCUAAAAAUAAAAUACUUUCUUUAAGAAUUAUUCACCAGAUGGUUGCAAAGAAGGUAGGAUGGGAUGUAUGUUUAAGCAGUAGAAUGUGUAGAAAUACAAGGUUGGGCAAGAUGUGAACCACAUACAAGGAACCAUUGUCGACAUUAUAUAUUCACAAUCGUUUACUUUGUUGAAUUAAACUAUCCGCUUUUCUUAACUACAAAUGAAUAUAAAUCAUAAUAUAUGAUUAGUUUACGAAGUUUGAUACUACGA
Molecule: long non-coding RNA, 1171 nt
Filed under: Helianthus annuus (common sunflower)
Lineage: Eukaryota; Viridiplantae; Streptophyta; Magnoliopsida; Asterales; Asteraceae
Description: hypothetical non coding rna
Source: RNAcentral